Helicoverpa zea (corn earworm) is the source of this 2518-nucleotide RNA transcript. RefSeq lists it as uncharacterized. The transcript is spliced from 6 exons. NCBI's taxonomy places the organism in Eukaryota, Metazoa, Arthropoda, Insecta, Lepidoptera, Noctuidae. The record is from RefSeq and is a predicted model, not a curated record.
UAGCAUAAAAAAGGUUAUAGUGAGCUAACCUUAAAAGAUACACAUCUGCUGUUGCGGACUUUUUUUAGAACUUUUAAAGGGGAACAAUUCUGUCAUACAUGAUUUAUGCGAAACUUUAACCGUUUACGCAGCGCACGAAACAUUUGAAACAUUCUUCAUUGGUGCUCUGCUCCUUUUGAUCUUAGCGUGAUAAUAUAUAGCCUAUAGCCUAUAUAUAUCUAACACUGUAAGCAUUUUUCAAAUCGGGCCAGUUUUUCCUGAGAUUAGCGCGUUCAAGCAAACAAACAAACAAACUCUUCAGCUUUAUAAUAUUAGUAUCUAUGAUAGCCGAGCCUACAUUACCUACUUGCGAAAUUCAUUUAUUUUGCGAACUAUAGGUACAUUUAUAGAAACAAUAGCGACUGUUGUUAGGCUAUGGAUAACAAAAUGACUAGCGGAGAUGUCAUAAUGCAAAAUCUAUGAAAGUAGCGCCCCAAAAUGCGGGUGUUCGGGGGACGAGGAACGUUACUAGCUCCACCCUUAAACCCCCUCUGUGGAACCCGCCCAUUAUUUUCAAAAUAUAAUCGCCAAACAAUCAAGACCAAUCUUUGACAGAUUGCCUUUGAUUUGUUGUCUCUUUUAUAAUUUGUAUAAAGUUUUAAAAAACAUAGUUAUGUAUCAUAAAUAUUACUUGUCUUUUCUUUAGAUAGCGUAAUUGUAUAUUUUAUUUUACAGAGUCUGAUGAACGAGAUAAUUCGUAUCACUUUAACUGAAUACAAUGCUUUGAGUGCAACAGUGACAUAGCAGUGAUCCGGUUCCGUUUGACGAGUGCUUAGAACUCCUGCUACUCAAAGAUAUGGCCGGUCCUACGCCCAGUCCUUUAUUCCCAACUGGAAAACCUAUCGUCCUUCGUGGAUACGAGCCUGCUCGGCCCCCACCAGAACCCCAGCCCGAAGUACUGCAUUACUUCCUUGUGACCUGCCUACUUAGUAACUGCAAAAACCCCAAUCACCAUGUAUAUUAAGUACCGAGCUUCUGCUGGUCUCCAAGGAGCUACGCUGGAGUCCGGCUGGCAGAUCAGACAGCUGCAUCAACAGUAGCAGAGUACCGGUCGCUGAACGUAACACCCUGGUGCCCAGCUGUCGCCGGUUCCACUGGAUGCCGAACCCAACGUACUUUAGAAACAUUAAUUCUAAGAACUAAGCUUACCUACUUACGGCCGAUCUCAAUACUCGAUCUAUCUAUUUUAGCUUACACACUGCUUGACAGGUAUUUAACAUACUACUGAAGGACUAAUGUCUACAUUCUAUCUCCAGUAAGUAAGUCAACAGAUGGAUAAAAUAUUGGGAUCGACCGCAAGAAUGCUUGAUAAUCCUUUUUGUCUGAUAUGAUAUGGUUUUCUUCCAUGAAGUCGUCUUCACGAGAAAGCAUGCCUUGUCAUCGCAUUCUGCUUGAGCCCACCGCGCAAGAGAGGGUGUAAAACCAGCUAUGUAGAAGCAUAAGAAUCGGGUUUAGGCGUCUUGUUAACGAUAACGGAUGAUAGUUCGUUUUUUGUAAGGGCGACUGUUCAAUAAGUUAGUAUAGUAACUAUUAUAUAAUCUGUGGUAUAGGUGAUUGUGAACGCAACUUCUAUAUCUAUUGCUACGAAACUACGCGUCGAAGCCCAUCGCGUUAGCAAAUUCCUACAUUAAGCCGUUGUAUCAUCAUCAUCAUCAUCUCAGCCAUAGGACGUCCACUGCUGAACAUAGGCCUCCCCCUUAGAUCUCCACAGAUACCUGUUGGAGGCGACCUGCAUCCAGCGUCUUCCGGCGACCUUUAUAAGGUCGUCUGUCCACCUUGUAUACGCAAGACAAUUGAUAUUCUAGCAAAAUCAAAAAUCGGUUAUUCAAAGUUGGCUGAAAAACAGCACUUUUUCAGGUCAGAAUUACAUGAGACAGCUCCAAAAUCACUUCGUAUUAUUAUUAGCGACAUACCAGCAGUCAAUCUAUUGUUAUAAAAAUCGUUCCGUCACAUCGUCCGUUGUCGUCAACAAGAGGCCUCAGUGGUCUUAUUAUGACGUAUCUAUAUAUAUUCCACUUCAUGACGUUAGUAUGUAAGAUAUCUACCGUAGACCGUAAACGGACACAUUAAAAAAUCUUUGUCGAGUUCUCAAUACCUACCUGUGUAUGUAGGUUCAUGAUCAGUGAUAUGUCAGUAUUAAUAUUCUCAUUUAAUCAUAAUAAACUAACUUAUACCCUUUCAUUACCUAUAUAUCGAUAUAACAUGUGUAACUUAUAGUUCUAACAUUCUUAACCUAGAUCUGGUAAAAAUAGAUUGUAAGGUAUAACUCAGUUAUUCGCAAUUUAGUUUUAGUAGCUCUUAUUAACAGUUACAAGUAGACAUUUUAUUUUCACCAAUAGCAGCUUGAUCGUCAUGAUUUAGCAAUUUUCUGUGAAGAUAAAACCUAUUUAUAAAAUUCACUUCGUCUAAUAGAUCUGUGGUAAUUUGUCUUAUUGUUUACCCUUUUAUGAAUGCUCAAUAAAAUGAAAAUUCUGCCAUC